Molecule: non-coding RNA, 85 nt
Organism: Felis catus (domestic cat)
Lineage: Eukaryota; Metazoa; Chordata; Mammalia; Carnivora; Felidae
Source: Rfam
GCCUGGGUGGCUCAGUCGGUUGAGCGUCCGACUUCAGCUCAGGUCACGAUCUCGCGGUCCGUGAGUUCGAGCCCCGCGUCAGGCU